GACGAACGCUGGCGGCGUGCUUAACACAUGCAAGUCGAACGGUAAGGCCCUUCGGGGUACACGAGUGGCGAACGGGUGAGUAACACGUGGGUGAUCUGCCCUGCACUUCGGGAUAAGCCUGGGAAACUGGGUCUAAUACCGGAUAGGACCAUGGACUUCACGGUUUGUGGUGGAAAGCUUUUGCGGUGUGGGAUGGGCCCGCGGCCUAUCAGCUUGUUGGUGGGGUAAUGGCCUACCAAGGCGACGACGGGUAGCCGGCCUGAGAGGGUGUCCGGCCACACUGGGACUGAGAUACGGCCCAGACUCCUACGGGAGGCAGCAGUGGGGAAUAUUGCACAAUGGGCGCAAGCCUGAUGCAGCGACGCCGCGUGAGGGAUGACGGCCUCGGUGUAACCUCUUUCAAUAGGACGAAGACGCAAGUGACGGUACCUAUAGAAGAAGCACCGGCCAACUACGUGCCAGCAGCCGCGGUAA
This 474-nucleotide ribosomal RNA is filed under the name uncultured bacterium. RNAcentral describes it as "bacterial SSU rRNA". It matches the Rfam family "Bacterial small subunit ribosomal RNA", at positions 28 to 523 of the family's 1533-position model. The record is from RNAcentral.